Molecule: long non-coding RNA, 239 nt
Filed under: Panax ginseng (ginseng)
Lineage: Eukaryota; Viridiplantae; Streptophyta; Magnoliopsida; Apiales; Araliaceae
Description: long non-coding RNA (PGIN_LNC002326)
Source: RNAcentral
UCGGAUUCUCAUCACCCUAAUGUUGUUCACCAAAAUCAAUUAUUAAGUGACGUAUAAAAUACGACACACACAUCUUAGGUCCUCAAUACAUUUAUAUAUUUCAUGUCAUGCCAUAGUAAGGACUACUAAUGCUAUCAUCUGGACCAUCACUCCAUUCCCUGACUAGUCUCAACUAUAUUCUCAUUUCCUGAAGAGAACAGUGAAAGAAAGGGGUGAGCUCAACUAGCCCAGUAAGAAAU